This is a long non-coding RNA of Rhagoletis zephyria (snowberry fruit fly), 668 nucleotides long. RefSeq lists it as uncharacterized. The record is from RefSeq and is a predicted model, not a curated record. Lineage: Eukaryota; Metazoa; Arthropoda; Insecta; Diptera; Tephritidae.
AAAAGUAACGAUAUGGUAUCGUAUCGUAUCGAAAUUCGUGUCCCUACACAUGAAGAAGAUUUUGUGUAUUAAAACAGAACAGGAUUUUUUAGCAAUAACGCUAUGGUGGUGUACGAUAACAAAAUGCGUAUAAGAAGUUUUGAUGCGAGAUAUCCGGAUGCAAUCACGACUCGCAUAUAUGGGGUUUGAGUAAGCUGCGAUUUUAUAUGGAACGGCAAUAUCGGGAAGAUGAAAGAAACACCUGGUUGUUAGGCGAUGCGAGGUAUCCUUUGGAGCCCUGGCUAAUGACUCCAUAUCGGUCUGUAAGUGAAGGCACCCAACAAAGCAAUUACAACAUGCGCCACUCCAGAACUGGAAAUAUAGUGGAGCGCACUGUCGGAGUCUUGAAAAACCGUUUCCGAUGCUUGUUGGGUGCACGGGAACUGCAUUACUCACCGAAAAAAGUCAGACAAAUUAUAAACGUUGCUUGUGCACUUCACAACAUUUGCAUUCACUACAGAGUGGAAGAUUUGAAUGCAAACGAAUUGGACUUUGAAUUCCGCCAGGAGGCAGAAGAAGAACAAAGCAGUGAUUCAAAUUAUGCUACCGUGGGUAAUCGUAUUGGAGACAAAAUACUUUCUUCUUUUUUAAAAUUUACUAAACAUGGGUAUAAUAAAAAAGUAAAAAAA